UUGACCUCGGAUCAGGUAGGGAUACCCGCUGAACUUAAGCAUAUCAAUAAGCGGAGGAAAAGAAACCAACAGGGAUUGCCCCAGUAACGGCGAGUGAAGCGGCAAGAGCUCAAAUUUGAAAGCUGGCUCCUUCGGGGUCCGCAUUGUAAUUUGCAGAGGAUGCUUCGGGAGCGGUCCCCAUCUAAGUGCCCUGGAACGGGACGUCAUAGAGGGUGAGAAUCCCGUAUGGGAUGGGGUGUCCGCGCCCGUGUGAAGCUCCUUCGACGAGUCGAGUUGUUUGGGAAUGCAGCUCUAAAUGGGUGGUAAAUUUCAUCUAAAGCUAAAUAUUGGCCGGAGACCGAUAGCGCACAAGUAGAGUGAUCGAAAGAUGAAAAGCACUUUGAAAAGAGAGUUAAAAAGCACGUGAAAUUGUUGAAAGGGAAGCGCUUGCGACCAGACUCGCUCGCGGGGUUCAGCCGGCAUUCGUGCCGGUGUACUUCCCCGCGGGCGGGCCAGCGUCGGUUUGGGCGGUCGGUCAAAGGCCCUCGGAAGGUAACGCCCCUCGGGGCGUCUUAUAGCCGAGGGUGCAAUGCGACCUGCCCGGACCGAGGAACGCGCUUCGGCUCGGACGCUGGCAUAAUGGUCGUAAACGACC
RNAcentral lists this ribosomal RNA (634 nucleotides) under Penicillium egyptiacum. Its description in RNAcentral is "eukaryotic LSU rRNA". It matches the Rfam family "Eukaryotic large subunit ribosomal RNA", at positions 1 to 649 of the family's 3401-position model. The record is from RNAcentral. Lineage: Eukaryota; Fungi; Ascomycota; Eurotiomycetes; Eurotiales; Aspergillaceae.